UACGUAGGGACCAAGCGUUGUUCGGAUUUACUGGGCGUAAAGGGCGCGUAGGCGGCAUGACAAGUCACUUGUGAAAUCUCUGGGCUUAACCCAGAACGGCCAAGUGAUACUGUCGCGCUAGAGUGCGGAAGGGGCAAUCGGAAUUCUCGGUGUAGCGGUGAAAUGCGUAGAUAUCGAGAGGAACACCUGAGGUGAAGACGGGUUGCUGGGCCGACACUGGCGCUGAGUGCGCGAAAGCCAGGGGAGCAAACGGG
Molecule: ribosomal RNA, 254 nt
Filed under: uncultured bacterium
Lineage: Bacteria
Description: partial 16S ribosomal RNA
Rfam family: Bacterial small subunit ribosomal RNA
Source: RNAcentral